Sceloporus undulatus (fence lizard) is the source of this 945-nucleotide long non-coding RNA. RefSeq lists it as uncharacterized. The transcript has 4 exons. NCBI's taxonomy places the organism in Eukaryota, Metazoa, Chordata, Lepidosauria, Squamata, Phrynosomatidae. The record is from RefSeq and is a predicted model, not a curated record.
AGGCAGAGAAGGGAGGAAGAAGGGGCAGCCUUUGCUCUGGGGUCCCCCACCCCUUGAGUUUCCAAAUGCUCCUUUGGCUCCCCCGAAGGGACUUAUUCUGAAAAGAGAUAAAAAAGGUCAGGUAUGAAGCAGCCCACACUAUCUGGAGAAGAACAUGCACAAGAAAUAACAUGUGUCACAUUUUUAAAAAAGCAGCUAGUUCAGAGAAGGUAUGGAUGCUUGAAUCGGUGAAUUAAAAAUCUGUGGAUACAAAGGACUGACUGUAGAAGGAUGAAGAAAGGUGAGAAGGAGGAAAAAAGGCAGGGAAGAAAAGAACAACUCCAGACUCCUGAUAACAUCAUAAUUCAUUUCUGCUACUUUCCCUUGGCAGCCUUGAAUACAGCAAUUACGGACACAUUACUACCGUACUUCAUGCCAUAUUUGUGAGGGCCAGCAGGCUAAUGUGCAUUUUGGGACCAAAAGAGGGGAAGUUAGAUGGCAGGACUGCAAAUAGUUUCUCUUCAGACUCAGAAUUAGUGUGUGAGGCAAUUGCUCUCUUCCUUUUUCCUCCCUCUCCCAAAUUUCCUAAAACAUAGGUCUAUUUUGCACCUGCUGCAACACAGGAAGACAUUUCCCUCCCUUUCCUUAGUGACUUCUGUUUCUGGCGAUGGGGUGUCAUCACGGCGUGUCUAAUAAUUCUAAUAAUUCAAGAGCAGCUGGGAAGAUAGUUGACUGCCAAGAUGGUUGCCCGAAUGCCAGCAAAAUAGUCACUAUCAAUAUAGUUAUGAACUGCGCAUUAUGGUUCUUAUUAGGAAUGGACUAUAUGCACAGGUUAAGUAUCCCUGAUCCAGAAUUCCAAAAUCCAAAAUUGUCCACAUGGGUGACUGAGAUGGUGACACUUGUGCUUCCUGAUGGUAUACAAACUUUCUUUCAUGCACAAAAAUUAAUAAAAAAUAUCAUGUAUAA